GGAGGGGUGGCCGAGUGGUCGAAGGCGCACGCCUGGAAAGUGUGUAUACGCCUAAAGCGUAUCGUGGGUUCGAAUCCCACCCCCUCCGCCA
RNAcentral lists this transfer RNA (91 nucleotides) under Alphaproteobacteria bacterium. RNAcentral's name for it is "tRNA-Ser". It matches the Rfam family "tRNA". Rfam says of the family: Transfer RNA (tRNA) molecules are approximately 80 nucleotides in length. Their secondary structure includes four short double-helical elements and three loops (D, anti-codon, and T loops). Lineage: Bacteria; Pseudomonadati; Pseudomonadota; Alphaproteobacteria. The record is from RNAcentral.